CAACGACUGCUGUGUGCGUUCGAUUUUGGCAGCUAGCCCGAACCGAUAUCACUACCACGGGAUCAAAAUCCGGCGAACCAGGUCAUGCCUUCAUAGGAAGACCCAAAUAGUCCGGACGAUCCCACUUGUUGAGCUUACGGAACGUGGCUCAUAGCGCCAAGAACGGCACAGCGGUUUUUCU
RNAcentral lists this non-coding RNA (181 nucleotides) under Luteolibacter sp. SL250. RNAcentral's name for it is "6S RNA". It matches the Rfam family "6S / SsrS RNA". Rfam says of the family: E. coli 6S RNA was the first non coding RNA to be sequenced, but its function was unknown until recently. Lineage: Bacteria; Pseudomonadati; Verrucomicrobiota; Verrucomicrobiia; Verrucomicrobiales; Verrucomicrobiaceae. The record is from RNAcentral.